Molecule: ribosomal RNA, 301 nt
Filed under: uncultured bacterium
Lineage: Bacteria
Description: partial 16S ribosomal RNA
Rfam family: Bacterial small subunit ribosomal RNA
Source: RNAcentral
CAGCAGCCACGGGAAUACGUAGGGUGCGAGCGUUAAUCGGAAUUACUGGGCGUAAAGCGUGCGCAGGCGGUUCUAUAAGACAGACGUGAAAUCCCCGGGCUCAACCUGGGAACUGCAUUUGUGACUGUAGAGCUGGAGUGCGGCAGAGGGGGAUGGAAUUCCGCGUGUAGCAGUGAAAUGCGUAGAUAUGCGGAGGAACACCGAUGGCGAAGGCAAUCCCCUGGGCCUGCACUGACGCUCAUGCACGAAAGCGUGGGGAGCAAACAGGAUUAGAUACCCCCGUAGUCCCUGUCUCUUAUAC